RNAcentral lists this ribosomal RNA (461 nucleotides) under uncultured bacterium. RNAcentral describes it as "partial 16S ribosomal RNA". It matches the Rfam family "Bacterial small subunit ribosomal RNA", at positions 338 to 795 of the family's 1533-position model. The record is from RNAcentral.
CCUACGGGUGGCAGCAGUGAGGAAUAUUGGUCAAUGGGCGGGAGCCUGAACCAGCCAAGUCGCGUGAGGGAAGACGGUCCUACGGAUUGUAAACCUCUUUUGCCGGGGAGCAACGGGGUCCUUGCGAGGGCCCAAUGAGAGUACCCGGAGAAAAAGCAUCGGCUAACUCCGUGCCAGCAGCCGCGGUAAUACGGAGGAUGCGAGCGUUAUCCGGAUUUAUUGGGUUUAAAGGGAGCGUAGGCGGGUUGUUAAGUCAGUUGUGAAAGUUUGCGGCUCAACCGUAAAAUUGCAGUUGAUACUGGCAUCCUUGAGUACAGUAGAGGUAGGCGGAAUUCGUGGUGUAGCGGUGAAAUGCUUAGAUAUCACGAAGAACUCCGAUUGCGAAGGCAGCCUGCUGGACUGUAACUGACGCUGAUGCUCGAAAGUGUGGGUAUCAAACAGGAUUAGAUACCCUAGUAGUC